Molecule: non-coding RNA, 546 nt
Organism: Pan troglodytes (chimpanzee)
Lineage: Eukaryota; Metazoa; Chordata; Mammalia; Primates; Hominidae
Source: the annotation of a RefSeq genome assembly
AGAGGAGGGAAACAGAGUGGGAAGGAACUACGCUGUAGGAAGGAAAGAUGAACUUGAGUUUCACUUCUUAGUGCCUUUUCUCAGGGGAGAGGCCAUCACUUGAAGAUGCUGAGUCUUCUGCUCCUUCUCCUGGGACUAGGCUCUGUGUUCAGUGCUGUCAUCUCUCAAAAGCCAAGCAGGGAUAUCUGUCAACAUGGAACCUCCCUGACGAUCCAGUGUCAAGUCGAUAGCCAAGUCACCAUGAUGUUCUGGUACCGUCAGCAACCUGGACAGAGCCCGACACUGAUUGCAACUGCAAAUCAGGGCUCUGAGGCCACAUAUGAGACUGGAUUUGUCAUUGACAAGUUUCCCAUCAGCCGCCCAAACCUAACAUUCUCAACUCUGACUGUGAGCAACAUGAGCCCUGAAGACAGCAGCAUAUACCUCUGCAGCGUUGAAGACACAGUGCGGGGCACAGAUCAAAGAUCUGAGCAAGAACCUCAGCUCUCUCCUACGCAGCUCCUCUCACAUGAGCCUGAAGGCCCUGCCAAGGUGGGAUAGAAGGAG